RNAcentral lists this unclassified non-coding RNA (257 nucleotides) under Camarophyllopsis sp. JMB10101304. Its description in RNAcentral is "internal transcribe spacer 1". Lineage: Eukaryota; Fungi; Basidiomycota; Agaricomycetes; Agaricales; Clavariaceae. The record is from RNAcentral.
AUGUGAUGGAUGUGCUAGUCUUGACCUCUCAAUCCUCCCUUCAAUUGUAUUGUUGGGUGGGGGCCUGACGGCUCGAGGGGAAAGGAAAUAAAAGCCUGUUUGGGUGUGCACUCCGAUACAAACUUCCUUUCAUACCUUGUGCAUCUCUGCCUUCUUAACAAGGGAAGAAUGUUGAAUGAUAUUCUUCAUUGUUUAAGKAGGAUUUGUAUCACAACCUUAAAARAAUAUUCUGUUGGCUUAGAAAGCAAAAGUUAAUA